Aegilops tauschii subsp. strangulata is the source of this 1914-nucleotide non-coding RNA. NCBI's taxonomy places the organism in Eukaryota, Viridiplantae, Streptophyta, Magnoliopsida, Poales, Poaceae. The record is from RefSeq and is a predicted model, not a curated record.
AGUUAACUGCAGAAAUCAGAAUAUUGGAUAGCAGUAACUAAGGCCAUUGGCAAUUUCUAUCAUAUAUCAUAAUUUAUUUGUGUGAUUCCUUUACCAACUACAUGUUUCUAUUUGUUUACUAUAUUUUGUUUGUUCCUGAAUAUUUUAUGAAUUGUGUAUUUCUAUUUUAAUACAUAAGACUCUUUUUCAUGCAAUUUACUCAAUGGCCUAUAUGAGAAGCCCUAAAUAAAGCUAUUCCUCAUUUGUACGCUUUCUUACUUAUAUAGAUCAAAAUAUGGAAUUCUCUGCAGGUUAACUAAUACAUGCAUCAGCUUUGUAUCAUAAAGAUUUCACCAUCCCAAGGUAAUGGAAAUAAGUUCACAAGAUUCUCAUGUUGAGGUCUGUACAAAGAGAUACAAGGCAAUGUCUGUGUGCUGGAAGGAGAAACUCACUGCCAAAGCUAUAAUCCCUGAUGCUAAAGCCUGCAUGUUCAGAUCUGCAGAGUUUACUCAUAUUACUGUAUGAAUGAUUAAUACAGAGGGAGCCCUUUUGUCAGGUCAUUUAAUCAUUAAAUCAUACGUACAUUAUCUCAGGUAACUUACUACUACCUUUGUUCGAAAAUAAGUGCCGUUAACUUAGUACACCUUUGCACUAAAGUUGUACUAAAUCCGUGACAUUUAUUUUGGGACAGAGGGAGUAUUUCAUUUUCUACCUGAACCAAGUUGUUAUUUCAUUUCUAAGAGGCAAAGAGUUCCUCAUGGUUAGUUUGCCACAUUUUAUAUGUCUAUCUAUGUGCAUUACCAAUUCACUAUAUGCACCUUUAGUUCCCAGUUUUGGCUCACUUUCUUGAUGCAUCUCGGAUGAGAGGAAAGGAAUGGAUAAUCUGACAAGCAAUGUUCGGGCAUACCCUUAUAUUUACGUCUGAUGAAAUGCUGCGGGUGCAAACUAAUCAAGACUGCUGCCAUGAGCAAAAGAGCAGACAUUACUUAUGAGAAAACAAUAAAAGAAUCUUCCGUGACUACAUACCACAACGAGUCAAAGACGAUGAAAGCACUACUCCAUUGGUGGUGUUAGCAAGUGGAGUCUGGAGGGAGAACAACACAAAGUAGGAAAUUGAUUCCCUCACCCUUGCUUGCUUCAACGACCCCGCCCGUCUUGGUGGGGUCGAUUCCCCCAUCGCCCGACUCAUCUCCGACGAGUAUGGCGUCAGUGGGUACGCCCCGCCGUUCGUAUGCUUGGCGGGUCCCAGAACACCCGUGACGUGUAUGAGCUUGACUAGGGCGAGGGGCUCGUGCUCGUGCUCGAGCUUGACAAGACGCACUUCGAUCUCGUCACCAACUACGAGCUGGACUGUGAGACUCCAGAGCAGGCGGGGGUGACGAAGACGAAAGUGGGGGCAGUUCGAGCUUGUCGCUGCCGGAGACCCUGGAGAGGUGCGCGAAGAGACCUGGUUAGAUUUGUUGGCCACCACUGGUAAACUGCACUAAUAACAAAUCAGAUGUCAUCUCUCAUGUUGCUAAUUCAACCCUGGACGAUGUUGCGCGGCCCGCGGCCAUGGACGAUGUGCUGUUGGACAACGACGCGAGGCCGAGGCAGCCAAUGUGAAUGACCACUGGAAAUCAUUUACCUUUCAAUCUUGGAAGGCCCUAAGCUAAAGGAGAGCAUCAAUUGUCAUGAGAGAUAAGCAAUAUCUAUUAGACACGCAUACUAUCAGGCUAACGCAAACCACUCGGGAAUGACCACUCGGGAAUGAAGUAUACUUACCGUAACUUUCUAUGUGUUGACUUGAGUUUUCCUGUUAGUAAAAGAAACAUGCCAUUUUUUUGCGGUUCAUGGAUUCAUGCUCAAUGUUGAAUUAUUAUCUGAUCUGCAAAAGCAUGCCUUACUGCUGCUCAUGGUCACAUGAUUUAUAAUUUAUAACUACAAUUAUUUAAA